UGCCUGUCGCGAUAGAUGGGGCCGUGCUGCGCAAGCAGCCGCUGCCCAGAGGGGCUCUGAGCGUGCAGCCGCGAUAGCCCCCAGGCAUCCUCCUAGCUCUGCCCUCAGAACCCGCCAGCCCCGCACAUCUCCGGGUGCCCUCGCUCCCCUCGGGCUUUUUUUGGGGAAAAUUUCCCCCAAAACGCCUGGAUUCAUCAAGCACCUGGUCCAGCCUGUAAGAGGCUCUUUCUCCUUGCCCGACUACUCGCUGUCGCCAAGGCCUGCUUCAAUUUGAACAAUCUAAAGUCACAAAUCUCAUCGUUACUACUCAUUUUCUUCUUAGAACUGCAGUGGCCACAGAUCCAACUAGAGGCUGGUCUGAAGACUCCCCCAGAAGUGUGAACCUUAGUAAGAUAACUUGGCUGUGAUGGUGUUCACAGGGGUCUCAGGUUGAGGGAAGAGACGAGGAUCUGAC
This 454-nucleotide long non-coding RNA is filed under the name Junco hyemalis (dark-eyed junco). RNAcentral's name for it is "lncRNA (ENSJHYG00000003523.1)". Lineage: Eukaryota; Metazoa; Chordata; Aves; Passeriformes; Passerellidae. The record is from RNAcentral.